RNAcentral lists this non-coding RNA (46 nucleotides) under Trichobilharzia regenti. Lineage: Eukaryota; Metazoa; Platyhelminthes; Trematoda; Strigeidida; Schistosomatidae. The record is from RNAcentral.
GUACCGCUGAAGAGUCCCAAACCAGGACGAAACAGCUGUCCAGUAC